GAUUCAAAGAAUGUCGGCAACUAAUUAGGCUUCGCAAGCUAAGUUCUUUACCAAUUCAGACCCAAAAGAUCAGAAAACAUAACCUUACAUAUAUUGUACAUCACAUAAAGCAGAGCAAGGGCAUGCAAACAACGAUUUAAUCCUUCAGCAGCCCUUUAUUCAGUCAAUUUCACGAAUCUCAAGAAAAUGCAUAAUAAAUAACUUGUCUCAAUAAUUGAUUCUUUUCUUUUCCAAAUAUCAUACUGACACUUGUUUUUAAUAACAACAUAAGACUACAUGCCUAAAAGGAUAAUAAUGUCAUCCCAAGUAUGCAACUUCAAAAUUGAACAGACAACAUUGCAAUCUUCAGUUGUAGCAACCCCAAAACACUAAAAUAGAUACUAACACAAUCAAUCAUCAUCAUCAUGUAAAACUAAAAAUGAAAUAUGAACUGCAUCACCAUAAUAAAGAUGGUAAAAAUACACCCAAGUUUAGGACUACUAUAAGAAAACAGCACAUUACUGCAUCUCCAUAAUAAAGAUGGUAAAAAUACACCCAAGUUUAGGACAUUACUAUAAGAAAACAGCACAUUACGAUAAUGACUAACCUCAAUGAACAGAAAAGAGUACAAUUCAAAACCUACACCUACUAUUAACAGGGAAAAGGGCAGAUAAAAAUUAGAAUUCUGAGGCCCAGCCCAGACAUUGCCUCUUUUUAGGUAUUGCCAACUGCGAUACCAUGUGCUGUGCACAUACGGCGCCAACCAUGCCCCGACAACAGUAAAACAGUGCAUAUGGGAGCAGCAUUAACCAGGUUUUAGUAUAUAAUUAUUCUCAGAAAUUCCAUUUUGACCACUAUCUUUCAUAAUUCAUUUGAAACAAUGUCUUUCUUUUACGUUUCAGUACUAUCGGCCCACCUUCAAUGAUUGCCCAGCAAUGCUACCUUUAGUCACACAAUAGGUGGCUUAUACCAUAUAUAUGGAGUUGCACGUAUGGCCCGAGGAAGCGCACAAACCAAGAGGGGCUAUGGCUCUAACACAAUGACUUACUAGAGUAAAUUGACUUAUUUAGUAUGUUUGGAUUUGAUUGAUCUCUUAGAGAUAAGAUUAAUUGCUUGAUCUGUUGAUCCUUAAGUUGGUUAUUUCCCAAUAUAAUGUGUAAGCCUGCUAUGUAAUCCUUUGCAGUAUAUCUCAACAAAGAAAGAAAGAAAACCAACCAUCUGCAUGUCUCUCCUUGCAUGGACCCAAGGUCUAGGGCUCCAUGGCUAUAAGCCAUAAUCUCCCAUCAGAGAACACUACGAUCUUCUAACGCACUAUCCACGCCACAUACAAGUUUGGUAUCAGAGCCAGCAGUCCACAACAACAGGGACGAAGAACCCGUCGUCGACUUCUACAACAUCCCGCUUAGUGGAUCCAAAUAGUUGGGUACGUUGAGUCCCAUCAUAUGGGAGUUCAACUAGCGCACUACAUAGUUUCAAAAAAAAAAAAAAAAACACUAGCUCACCAAAUCAUUACAAUGCAGCGACCACCAGUUGGUGUGGCAUGGUAUGACUCCUCGCUUCCGCUCGCCCACCUUCACAUGGCUUAAGUACAGGACCUAAAUUGAGCUAACGUACGGUAGCCUGUUGGAUGAGUCAACAAACUGCUGCCACAAGAUUCUCACGAUGCUCCAUUUGUUGGCCACAAGUUGAUACGUGCAAGAAGUCAACAUUCUCCACCCCCGUAUUGCUUGUUAAAAAGCAAGAUGUGUAAGAGUCAAUAGGCAUGGAUUACCGCGCACUUGACGAGAAGAUAGUCAAAGAAAGUUCCCGGUUCAUGUGGUUGAGGAACUGCUUGAUGAGCUGAAAGACUGCCAAAUUCUUCAGCAAUCUAGGCUUGACCAAGUCUGCCUGAAUCCACCUGUGUCGAGAAGACAUCGUUACACCAAGGGCUGCUUAGAGUUCUUGGUUAUGUCGUUCAGCCUGACAAAUACACCUGCUACCUUUCAAGCAACGGCGAAAUGACAGUUUGAUGUAUGCUUCUUGGGCAGACCACCUAAGCCAUGCACGAGUUCUAUUUUGGCUAAUUCGGUCGCACCUAUUAUUCCUCGCCAAUCACUAUGCUUCCAAGUUCCAACUUGAUCAGCGUCUCCACCAUAAACAAUUUCCCAUGAUCAAUAGGCAAGCAAGUCUUUUAUGUUCAAUUUUUUUAAGUGAAUAAAAAUCUGGGGCACUCGAACGUCGUGGCCGAUCCCCUGUGAUUGUGAUGUCGAGCGGAGGGUUCUAUUCAUUAUAUCUACCCCUUGAGUAAACACCCUUGAGGAGCAUAGACAGGGGCAUCGACCUGGCCACGUAGAUUGCACGCAUCAUGGUGGGCGAGCUAACAAUGCCAUGGGCAUUCAUUGAUGGCCAUGCGCACAUACAUGCAUGUAGACUCCACUUCUUGCCCAUGUUGCUCACCACGACUCACGGCACGGCCACAAAUGUAUCCAAAAGAUCAUCCACAGCCUACAUCAUGACUUCCAGAUCCUCGAGGACCACAUUGUUGUCGAGGAAUUUGUGCGGGCAUGCACAAUUUCGUAACGCAACGAGACCUACAAAAUGAAUAUUGCCAGCCUGCGACGCUUCUUGGAGGCUCCCUUGAGCACGUGGGCAGGCAUCUCCAUACACUUCGUCGAGGGCCUCCCCAUGGUUGGUGGCAAGUCCCAUCAUCUUGAAGAAGUGGAUUGCUUCUCCAAGUACGGGCACCAUCGCUUGGCACAUACAUAUCCGGCAAUUACCGUGGUACACGCUUUCUUUGUUGAUAUUGUGCGCCUUCAGGAAAUCUCUGCAUUCACCAUAAUCCCAUAUUCACAUCAAACUUCCGAAAGGACAUGUUCGAUGUGCAACACUUAGCUCGAUAUGAGCUCAACUUUGUAUCCCAAUUAGAUGUCCUUUUCAUCCCUCAUUAGAUGACCACUCUAAGGUGGUUAACAAAACCACUGCCACGUACUUGCACAGUAUGACUCGUGAUCGUCCUUGACAUAGAUGUGUUGGCUGCCUUGAGUUUUGCUACGAUAUAUUCCUCCACUCGGCAUUAAAGAAGACGCCACACUGAAGAUCAUCUAUGGACAGCACCCGCAGGUCAUAUGCUGCUAUGGGUCGUGCAUGGCUUAGGUGGUCUGCCCCAGAAGCACGGUACAUCACACAGUCGUUUAUCUCCAACGUUCAUGCACAUCUACACAUGAAGCAGUACUAAGAUGACAAGCGUCAUGAUGCGACAUGAAGGUUAAAGUGGAUGACUAGGUGUGGCUUCCCCUUCAUAUUUCCACCAUCAAGAAGUUGCCUUCCAGGGCGACCCUCUCGCAUCAGCACUGAAAUUAAUAAGGUGGCUUACAACCUGGAAAUACCACUGAUGCUCGUAUUUACAAAUGUUUUCAAUGUUGACUUGAUCAAGCUAUACGAGGGACCACCUCUAGCAGUAGUAGGCAAUACCCUUCAUGUAAUGGUGGUUCCAACACCAUCGCACAUCCUUUGUGCUAGCCGUGCUUGAGAUCCAAACAGUUUGUCGUUAAUCCAUAGUGGUUAGUAACUAGUAAGUAGGUCGUUAGACACAACUAGGCCAAGUAAUUUCGCCCUCCCAGGCCCAGCUGAAGCCCAACUUAAGCCUCAAACUUGCAACUAAAAUUGGUCGAAUAAACAACAAUCCUAGCUGCAGCCUGGGGAUUGGGACAGUAGCCCGUUGGCCACAGCCCACAUCACAAAAACAACGCCACAAGGAUAGCUGCAGCCUGCAGAUCAACAUAAGCAGAUCGUUCCCUGCGCAUGUGCUCAUCUUGUCGCCUCCUCGUCUGGCUAUCAGCGCUCAAUUGCUCUACAGACUCGCUUUAUCAAGACAAAUAACUUGAAUGUUCUAUCGAUCUUCUAGCCGAUAUUGUGACAAUGACAACAUGGAACAAACAACUGUCAACAAAGGCUUGCAAUAUAAUCACUUCUCUUUAGGUGCCGUCAAAGCACUCCUCGACAAGAGCCAUGCUGAAGUAUGUACAGAGUUGCCCCCAAGAGCCAAAGGAAUACUAAUGUCUGUUGAUCUCUAACGCAACCUGAACUCGACAUCUUUGAUUUACCAAAUAAGUCUUAACAACCGUUGUAGUCUGAGGACAGGUUGUCUACGGGUACGGAGAAGCUAUUGCACGCACACGGAGACCCGAUUAGGCCACAGUGGUAGCACACCAGAGUAUAUGGUGGCAACAUUAAUUCACAAUUUAGAUAUUAUGAUAAUUGGUUUCAUAUUACAUAUUUCCUUUCGGUUCAUUGUUAUCAUACAUAUUUCCUUUUAUGAAGUUUGAUAUUUCGCAUUCUAGCACCCCAUAUAAGAGAAGAUGCUGAUAAUCCUAAAGCAAGAAUCUAUCACUGCAGUGAGGCUACGGCAAGGCACUGUCACGCCACUUGGCUCAAGGGACACCAUGAUUAGGCCUAAGGGUACUCGCAAAGCAAAGGCAAUACAACAAGAGGUCAAUCUAAUCGUUGUUCUCUCUUUACAACCAAGGAUAGUGUGCUACCUAAUUCAUGGACGAUAUGUGUGCAUAGAUACAAGGAAGAACAAGGGGCACAAGUUGCAGAUCCCAGUUGAAAACACUGACCGACAGACCAAAUCUAUGUCAGGACCACUGGAGCAGCACUCAUCGCCAAGAAAGCUCAACAGCUCCAAUCGGUACCCAUACCUCCGACACGAUGAUGGUCGGUACUACUGAGUACUGACUGGAGCCCGAGAAGACCGAAGCCUCCGUUCCCCUUCAGUACCUCCAGCAUGAUGAUGGCCUAUGGAUAUGGAUCACCGGCUGGGGGUCACUUCUUCCUAAAAUUGUUGACUUCAACAGUAUGUGGUUACUUUAGCGUUUCAACAUUGCCGUGAUCUUUCAAUAAAAAGGAAAUAUUGUUUACACUGCAUUUAGCACUCUUACACAUUCUGGAGCGUCAUCCAAGAAGUAGCCACUACUACAAGCUAUAUCACACAUUAGAUGCAUGGAGGAUAUGUGACUAUGUUGAAAGACCGCACUAUGACAACAUUCUUCAUUUGGUGGUUGCUGAUGGCACACAUGUGUGUAACAAUUUGUUGGAACUACAAGCGCAGAGUGAUGUAGCAAGCUAAUUUUUCCCAUAAAGAUGAUUCGAGGGUUUA
Molecule: long non-coding RNA, 5116 nt
Organism: Brachypodium distachyon (stiff brome)
Lineage: Eukaryota; Viridiplantae; Streptophyta; Magnoliopsida; Poales; Poaceae
Exons: 2
Source: RefSeq, a predicted model, not a curated record